Lepisosteus oculatus (spotted gar) is the source of this 119-nucleotide ribosomal RNA. The record is from Rfam. Lineage: Eukaryota; Metazoa; Chordata; Actinopteri; Semionotiformes; Lepisosteidae.
GCAAGCAGCCAUAUCACCCUGCAACUCACAACUUGUAACCCACUGAAGCUAAGCAGGUGUGAGCCUGGUCAGUACCUGGAUGGGAGACCUCCUGGGAAAUACUAAGGUUGCUGCUGGAA